Molecule: ribosomal RNA, 459 nt
Filed under: uncultured bacterium
Lineage: Bacteria
Description: partial 16S ribosomal RNA
Rfam family: Bacterial small subunit ribosomal RNA
Source: RNAcentral
CCUACGGGUGGCUGCAGUGAGGAAUAUUGGUCAAUGGCCGGAAGGCUGAACCAGCCAAGCCGCGUGAAGGACGAAGGUGCCAAGCAUUGUAAACUUCUUUUGUCAAGGGACAAAAUCAGGCUCGAGAGCCUGACCGAGGGUACUUGAAGAAAAAGCAUCGGCUAACUCGGUCCCAGCAGCCGCGGUAAUACGGGGGAUGCGAUCGUUAUCCGGAUUGAUUGGGUUAAAAGGGUGCGUGGGCGGGCUGUUAAGUCAGCGGGAAAAGCCCGGGGCUCAACCCCGGCGAGCCGUUGAAACUGGCUAUCUUGAGUUGUCGAGAGGUAUGCGGAAUGCGCAGUGUAGCGGUGAAAUGCUUAGAUAUUGCGCAGAACUCCGAUUGCGAAGGCAGCAUACCGGCGGCGAUCUGACGCUGAGGCACGAAAGCGUGGGUAUCGAACAUGAUUAGAUACCCGAGUAGUC